UGGGGAAUAUUGCACAAUGGGGGAAACCCUGAUGCAGCGACGCCGCGUGAGUGAAGAAGUAUUUCGGUAUGUAAAGCUCUAUCAGCAGGGAAGAAAAAAGACGGUACCUGACUAAGAAGCCCCGGCUAACUACGUGCCAGCAGCCGCGGUAAUACGUAGGGGGCAAGCGUUAUCCGGAUUUACUGGGUGUAAAGGGAGCGUAGACGGCGCGGCAAGUCUGAAGUGAAAGGCAGGGGCUUAACCCCUGAACUGCUUUGGAAACUGCCAUGCUAGAGUGCUGGAGAGGUAAGUGGAAUUCCUAGUGUAGCGGUGAAAUGCGUAGAUAUUAGGAGGAACACCAGUGGCGAAGGCGGCUUACUGGACGGUAACUGACGUUGAGGCUCGAAAGCGUGGGGAGCAAACAGG
RNAcentral lists this ribosomal RNA (405 nucleotides) under Acidobacteriota bacterium. RNAcentral describes it as "Acidobacteria bacterium partial 16S ribosomal RNA". It matches the Rfam family "Bacterial small subunit ribosomal RNA", at positions 355 to 776 of the family's 1533-position model. The record is from RNAcentral. Lineage: Bacteria; Pseudomonadati; Acidobacteriota.